This 2900-nucleotide ribosomal RNA is filed under the name Klebsiella pneumoniae. Its description in RNAcentral is "bacterial LSU rRNA". It matches the Rfam family "Bacterial large subunit ribosomal RNA". The record is from RNAcentral. Lineage: Bacteria; Pseudomonadati; Pseudomonadota; Gammaproteobacteria; Enterobacterales; Enterobacteriaceae.
UUAAGCGACUAAGCGUACACGGUGGAUGCCCUGGCAGUCAGAGGCGAUGAAGGACGUGCUAAUCUGCGAAAAGCGUCGGUAAGGUGAUAUGAACCGUUAUAACCGGCGAUGUCCGAAUGGGGAAACCCAGUGCAAUUCGUUGCACUAUCGUUAACUGAAUACAUAGGUUAACGAGGCGAACCGGGGGAACUGAAACAUCUAAGUACCCCGAGGAAAAGAAAUCAACCGAGAUUCCCCCAGUAGCGGCGAGCGAACGGGGAGCAGCCCAGAGUCUGAAUCAGCUUGUGUGUUAGUGGAACGGUCUGGAAAGUCCGACGGUACAGGGUGAUAGUCCCGUACACCAAAAUGCACAGGUUGUGAACUCGAAGAGUAGGGCGGGACACGUGGUAUCCUGUCUGAAUAUGGGGGGACCAUCCUCCAAGGCUAAAUACUCCUGACUGACCGAUAGUGAACCAGUACCGUGAGGGAAAGGCGAAAAGAACCCCGGCGAGGGGAGUGAAAAAGAACCUGAAACCGUGUACGUACAAGCAGUGGGAGCACCUUCGGGUGUGACUGCGUACCUUUUGUAUAAUGGGUCAGCGACUUAUAUUCUGUAGCAAGGUUAACCGUAUAGGGGAGCCGCAGGGAAACCGAGUCUUAACUGGGCGUUAAGUUGCAGGGUAUAGACCCGAAACCCGGUGAUCUAGCCAUGGGCAGGUUGAAGGUUGGGUAACACUAACUGGAGGACCGAACCGACUAAUGUUGAAAAAUUAGCGGAUGACUUGUGGCUGGGGGUGAAAGGCCAAUCAAACCGGGAGAUAGCUGGUUCUCCCCGAAAGCUAUUUAGGUAGCGCCUCGUGAAUUCAUCUUCGGGGGUAGAGCACUGUUUCGGCUAGGGGGUCAUCCCGACUUACCAACCCGAUGCAAACUACGAAUACCGAAGAAUGUUAUCACGGGAGACACACGGCGGGUGCUAACGUCCGUCGUGAAGAGGGAAACAACCCAGACCGCCAGCUAAGGUCCCAAAGUCAUGGUUAAGUGGGAAACGAUGUGGGAAGGCACAGACAGCCAGGAUGUUGGCUUAGAAGCAGCCAUCAUUUAAAGAAAGCGUAAUAGCUCACUGGUCGAGUCGGCCUGCGCGGAAGAUGUAACGGGGCUAAACCAUGCACCGAAGCUGCGGCAGCGACACUAUGUGUUGUUGGGUAGGGGAGCGUUCUGUAAGCCUGCGAAGGUGACCUGUGAGGGUUGCUGGAGGUAUCAGAAGUGCGAAUGCUGACAUAAGUAACGAUAAAGCGGGUGAAAAGCCCGCUCGCCGGAAGACCAAGGGUUCCUGUCCAACGUUAAUCGGGGCAGGGUGAGUCGACCCCUAAGGCGAGGCCGAAAGGCGUAGUCGAUGGGAAACAGGUUAAUAUUCCUGUACUUGGUGUUACUGCGAAGGGGGGACGGAGAAGGCUAUGUUAGCCGGGCGACGGUUGUCCCGGUUUAAGCAUGUAGGCUGGUUAUCCAGGCAAAUCCGGAUAAUCAAGGCUGAGGUGUGAUGACGAGGCACUACGGUGCUGAAGUAACAAAUGCCCUGCUUCCAGGAAAAGCCUCUAAGCAUCAGGUAACAUCAAAUCGUACCCCAAACCGACACAGGUGGUCAGGUAGAGAAUACCAAGGCGCUUGAGAGAACUCGGGUGAAGGAACUAGGCAAAAUGGUGCCGUAACUUCGGGAGAAGGCACGCUGGUGUGUAGGUGAAGUCCCUGCGGAUGGAGCUGAGACCAGUCGAAGAUACCAGCUGGCUGCAACUGUUUAUUAAAAACACAGCACUGUGCAAACACGAAAGUGGACGUAUACGGUGUGACGCCUGCCCGGUGCCGGAAGGUUAAUUGAUGGGGUUAUCCGUAAGGAGAAGCUCUUGAUCGAAGCCCCGGUAAACGGCGGCCGUAACUAUAACGGUCCUAAGGUAGCGAAAUUCCUUGUCGGGUAAGUUCCGACCUGCACGAAUGGCGUAAUGAUGGCCAGGCUGUCUCCACCCGAGACUCAGUGAAAUUGAACUCGCUGUGAAGAUGCAGUGUACCCGCGGCAAGACGGAAAGACCCCGUGAACCUUUACUAUAGCUUGACACUGAACAUUGAGCCUUGAUGUGUAGGAUAGGUGGGAGGCUUUGAAGCGUGGACGCCAGUCUGCGUGGAGCCAACCUUGAAAUACCACCCUUUAAUGUUUGAUGUUCUAACGUUGGCCCCUGACCGGGGUUGCGGACAGUGUCUGGUGGGUAGUUUGACUGGGGCGGUCUCCUCCCAAAGCGUAACGGAGGAGCACGAAGGUUAGCUAAUCCUGGUCGGACAUCAGGAGGUUAGUGCAAUGGCAUAAGCUAGCUUGACUGCGAGCGUGACGGCGCGAGCAGGUGCGAAAGCAGGUCAUAGUGAUCCGGUGGUUCUGAAUGGAAGGGCCAUCGCUCAACGGAUAAAAGGUACUCCGGGGAUAACAGGCUGAUACCGCCCAAGAGUUCAUAUCGACGGCGGUGUUUGGCACCUCGAUGUCGGCUCAUCACAUCCUGGGGCUGAAGUAGGUCCCAAGGGUAUGGCUGUUCGCCAUUUAAAGUGGUACGCGAGCUGGGUUUAGAACGUCGUGAGACAGUUCGGUCCCUAUCUGCCGUGGGCGCUGGAGAAUUGAGGGGGGCUGCUCCUAGUACGAGAGGACCGGAGUGGACGCAUCACUGGUGUUCGGGUUGUCAUGCCAAUGGCACUGCCCGGUAGCUAAAUGCGGAAGAGAUAAGUGCUGAAAGCAUCUAAGCACGAAACUUGCCCCGAGAUGAGUUCUCCCUGAGACUUUAAGUCUCCUGAAGGAACGUUGAAGACGACGACGUUGAUAGGCCGGGUGUGUAAGCGCAGCGAUGCGUUGAGCUAACCGGUACUAAUGAACCGUGAGGCUUAACCUU